This 712-nucleotide ribosomal RNA is filed under the name Martensia fragilis. RNAcentral's name for it is "eukaryotic LSU rRNA". It matches the Rfam family "Eukaryotic large subunit ribosomal RNA", at positions 1284 to 1899 of the family's 3401-position model. The record is from RNAcentral. Lineage: Eukaryota; Rhodophyta; Florideophyceae; Ceramiales; Delesseriaceae.
AACAACUCACCUGCCGAAUGGGUUAGCCCUGAAAAUGGAUGGCGCUGAAGCGGGUUGCCGAUGGCGGACCGUUCGGACCGUAAUGCAUUGUAAAAACCAAAAGUAUAAAAAAAAAACUCUCUAUCCGAAUGAGUAGGAGGGCGUGGAGGUUGCGACGAAGCGUGCGGGGUAACCUGGCGUGGAGCGGCCUCUAGUGCAGAUCUUGGUGAUAGUAGCAAAUAUUCAGGAGAGAUCCCUGAAGGACGAAGCGGGGAAGGGUUCCACGCGAACAUUGAUUGUCCGUGGGUGAGUCGUACCUAAGCCGAGUGGUCAUGGCUGCUAAAAGGCGAAAGGGAGGCAGGUUGAUAUUCCUGAACUCGGAUGUAGUUGAACGCGGUGACGCACUUCUUUGGGGUGGUGACAUCGGUGAACUCGCUGGGCAGAGUUUUCUUCUCUGUUUGACGCGUACCGCGCUGUGUGGAGGCCGAUUAUCGGGAGAAGCACGCGUGAUGAGGCAGAGCUCCGCGAGAUAUUUGCGGGGUCCGGCUCGAGAUCAUCGGUCCUUGAAAAACCACUUGCUGGGUCGUAGGGGUGGAAUAGGGGCUCUUUCUUUCGGGGGAGGGUCACUAGUUCACGCUAAACUCUACGAUUAUAAGAAAAACAACUACGCUGAGACGUACCCAGAACCGCAUCAGGUCCCCAAGGUGAACAGCCUCUGUCCGAUAUGGUCAAU